UGAAACACUGAACAACGAAAGUUGUUCGUGAGUCU
RNAcentral lists this ribosomal RNA (35 nucleotides) under Escherichia coli 2-011-08_S3_C1. Its description in RNAcentral is "partial 23S ribosomal RNA". Lineage: Bacteria; Pseudomonadati; Pseudomonadota; Gammaproteobacteria; Enterobacterales; Enterobacteriaceae. The record is from RNAcentral.